RNAcentral lists this ribosomal RNA (433 nucleotides) under uncultured bacterium. RNAcentral's name for it is "partial 16S ribosomal RNA". It matches the Rfam family "Bacterial small subunit ribosomal RNA", at positions 29 to 507 of the family's 1533-position model. The record is from RNAcentral.
AACGAACGCUGGCGGCAGGCCUAACACAUGCAAGUCGAGCGGACCUUUCGGGGUCAGCGGCGGACGGGGGAGUAACGCGUGGGAAUAUGCCCUUCUCUACGGAAUAGUCCUGGGAAACUGGGGUUAAUACCGUAUACGCCCUUUGGGGGAAAGAUUUUUCGGGGAAGGAUUAGCCCGCGUUGGAUUAGGUAGUUGGUGGGGUAAUGGCCUACCAAGCCGACGAUCCAUAGCUGGUUUGAGAGGAUGAUCAGCCACACUGGGACUGAGACACGGCCCAGACUCCGACGGGAGGCAGCAGUGGGGAAUCUUAGACAAUGGGGGCAACCCUGAUCUAGCCAUGCCGCGGGAGUGAUGAAGGCCUUAGGGUUGUAAAGCUCUUUCAGCUGGGAAGAUAAUGACGGUACCAGCAGAAGAAGCCCCGGCUAACUCCGUG